CCUACGGGUGGCAGCAGUGAGGAAUAUUGGUCAAUGGUCGGGAGACUGAACCAGCCAAGUCGCGUGAGGGAGGAAUGUCCUGAGUAUUGUAAACCUCUUUUGUCAGGGAACAAAGGCGGGGACGUGUCCCCGGAUGAGUGUACCUGAAGAAAAAGCAUCGGCUAACUCCGUGCCAGCAGCCGCGGUAAUACGGAGGAUGCGAGCGUUAUCCGGAUUUAUUGGGGUUAAAGGGUGCGUAGGCGGGUUGUUAAGUCAGCCGUCAAAGCACGGGGGUCAACCCCCACCCGGCCGUGGAAACUGGCAGUCUUGAGUGGGGUAGAGGUAUGCGGAAUGCGCGGUGUAGCGGUGAAAUGCAUAGAUAUCACGAAGAACUCCGAUUGCGAAGGCAGCAUACUGGCUCCACACUGACGCUGAGGCACGAAAGCGUGGGUAUCGAACAGGAUUAGAUACCCCAGUAGUC
This 460-nucleotide ribosomal RNA is filed under the name uncultured bacterium. RNAcentral describes it as "partial 16S ribosomal RNA". It matches the Rfam family "Bacterial small subunit ribosomal RNA", at positions 338 to 795 of the family's 1533-position model. The record is from RNAcentral.